GAUGAACGCUAGCGGCAGGCCUAAUACAUGCAAGUCGAACGGUGUCUUCGGACAUAGUGGCGCACGGGUGCGUAACACGUAUGCAACCUACCUUACAUUGGGGGAUAGCCUUUCGAAAGGGAGGUUAAUACCGCAUAAGACAGUAGCUGGGCAUCCAGCAGCUGUUAAAGAUUUAUCGAUGUAAGCUGGGCAUGCGUCCAAUUAGCUAGUUGGUGAGGUAACGGCUCACCAAGGCAAUGAUUGGUAGGGGAACUGAGAGGUCAAUCCCCCACACUGGCACUUAGAUACGGGCCAGACUCCUACGGGAGGCAGCAGUAGGGAAUAUUGGGCAAAGGACGCAAGUCUGACCCAGCCAUGCCGCGUGCAGGAUGAAGGCGUUAUGCGUUGUAAACUGCUUUUAUACAGGAAGAAACGACUCUUGCGAGAGGCAUUGACGGUACUGUAUGAAUAAGCACCGGCUAACUCCGUGCCAGCCGCCGCAGUAA
RNAcentral lists this ribosomal RNA (485 nucleotides) under uncultured bacterium. RNAcentral describes it as "partial 16S ribosomal RNA". It matches the Rfam family "Bacterial small subunit ribosomal RNA", at positions 28 to 523 of the family's 1533-position model. The record is from RNAcentral.